Bos taurus (domestic cattle) is the source of this 73-nucleotide non-coding RNA. NCBI's taxonomy places the organism in Eukaryota, Metazoa, Chordata, Mammalia, Artiodactyla, Bovidae. The record is from Rfam.
UCCCUGGUGGUCCAAUGGCUAAGACUCCACGCUCCCAACGCAGGGUGCCCAGGUUCGAUCCCUGGUUAGGGAA